RNAcentral lists this long non-coding RNA (9110 nucleotides) under Setaria italica (foxtail millet). RNAcentral describes it as "long non-coding RNA (SITA_LNC006368)". The record is from RNAcentral. Lineage: Eukaryota; Viridiplantae; Streptophyta; Magnoliopsida; Poales; Poaceae.
GGAAAGCAGUGGAGGUUGCUCUUGGCCCGAAAUUUAGCCGAGAAAAAUGCGAUGUUAAGUUGGUCGGGACACCAUUAACGCAUAAGAGAUUUCUCAGAAGGAAUAGGGGAACCUAUGGUCCAGCCAUAAAAGCUGGAGAAGCCACUUUCCCUGGGCAAGCAACACCAAUCCCACAGCUCUUCUGUUGUGGUGACUCGACUUUCCCAGGAAUCGGAGUGCCGGCAGUCGCAGCCAGCGGUGCGAUCGUCGCCAACACUCUGGUCUCGGUGUCGCAGCAUUCAGAGCUUCUUGACGCUGUUGGAAUUUGAGUGGCAGGCAUGUCCUGGUAAGUGAAAUCAAAUCUCUGUUCAUGAAUACCAUUGCAUUCUGGAGAUAUCAUGCUAAUAAACUUGGCUAAUGGCCACUGAAACUGCAUCAAAUACUUUAUGAUGGAGCUUUUCACCGACAAACAAUGCAUGAAGGUUAAAAUUCAUGGCCCUCACAUGCCGAUUGCCGAGUCAGCUGCGACUCCCGUUAGAAUAAUGAUGUUUCUCCUUCUCACGGCACAGCUCACAUGAACACUUUACAGUAGCAUAUGUGAACUGAUGAAUUCUAGCUGCGAGGCCCGUUUGACCCGGUCAACGAAUGACAGUAGCAUGAUGUGAGUGAUGAACAGAACAGCUAUCCCGGUGGGCCUUUUCAGUGCCCGCUUUCUGUUACCACCACUUGUUUCCUGUUGCUGUUCGUUUGGGCAAAUAGCAUGUGACUGCUUCUUUUGCUACUACAUCAAAGUUUCUCUGGUUGCAGGCAGGCAGAUCCAGUGGAUAUGACUUGUGAGUGCACACUACAUACUCCACAGAAAGACAACCUACAUUUUUCUUGGCUGUUGAAAAGAGCAUCUUGAUGAUGAACAGGAGUGUUACAACAUAUGUGCGUGCGCCCAGUUGGUGCCCGGUCCAGCUGCGACCCCGUUAGAAUAAUGAUGUUGGUGACUAUCUUUGAUACAUUUGGAGUCUCUGCUAAUUUUGACUCUAAGGGUUCGAAUUUUGAUUCCAAAACCAACUGUUACUGUUCAUCAUCCUAUAUUGACAGAAUUGUCAAUUUUUCUGAGCUGAAGGUUCAGAUUAUGUUUACUCCAUUUUUUCACCAAACUCUCAAAACUUCCUUUAUAGAAGUUGUAGAGAACCUAUUUCUCUACAUUUCUCUUAUUCAUCUCAAAAGCCAAAUCUCUCUUUUUCCCUUCCAAAGUUGGUCCUGAAGCUGGCUGCCACUUCUUGCUUUUCACUGAAUUGAAAUUGCAUUGAAUGGCUGCAAUCUCGACAGAACAGUACCAACAUCCUCCAUUUAACUUCGAAUUUCCAUUUAACACUUCAAAUGCCAAUUGUUUCAUGCCAAACUUGGAAAUCAUGCUAAGCUUGACAUGAAAGUUCCAUUUUGGCCAUAAAACCAAAGGUUCAUAGAACAUUUCUCCAAAAUCUCUUGAAUCAUUCAUUCCAUUUAGUACUGUUUUUCAAAGGCAUUUAUGCCUAUUUCCAGUUAGCGAACAGUUACAUCCUCCAUUUCUGAUUUUGGACAAUUUUAGGUCCAUUUGCUUCUCAACUGGCCUCUUUAAGUUCCAAAUGUCCAUAAGAUCCAAAUUCAUGCAUUUGUCAACUUUUCCUGAAUUUGAAUCUCAAUUUGGCAUUUUUGGUCAACAUUUGACUUAAAGUUGACUUUUGCCAAUAAACCUUCUUAGCAUCCAAAUUUUAUCAUUAACCUCAAAAUAACCAUUCUUAAGCCUUUUUAACACCUGGUUGUUACAGAUGUAGAGUUCUAUAGCAUAUAGAACCUCCAUUUCAAAUUACUAUUCGUUUUAAUUUUUCUAGAUACAUAGCUUUUAUUAUGUAUCUAGACAUAUACAUAUAUCUAGGUUCAUAGCAAAAGUUUUAUAUCUACAAAAGUCAAAACGAAUUGUAAUUUGGGACGGAGGGAGUAUAUUGUAAUGAUAGUGAGUACAAAGAAAAUAAAGUUUGAUGACGGUGCAAUGCUGAUGUCAAAUAAUGGCCUAUACAGGUGAUCACGCUCCAUAAAGGAAACAUAAUUCCAUUGCAGCAGCAUCAGACCAUGUAGACCAUGACCAGGCAUAUUGGUUUGGUACACGAGCUUAAAAUACAUUACUUCAUAUCGUUGUGUAAUGUUAACGACAAGUGUAAAACCUUGCACAUAAAGUUUGCCCCAGGAACCAUAAAUUGGACGGAAAACAUGGCAGGUUGGAGCUGUAUGUGGUUAACUACACUUGUGCCCACCUUAUAGGCUGACACGUUCACAUGGAAGUGGUAAAACUGUAUUGUAACUUGUAAGGCAGUCAGCAUGUGAAUACUUUUGACUAAACGAAAGUUGCAGCCUCAAUGUGGCAUUGCUGCACAAAAUUACGUCAAAAGUUAUACAUGGCUACAUGCUUUCUGUAAUGCACUAAACUAAACUACAAUAUGGUGAUGGAACACUGAAAAGGUGCUUUUAAUAAUGAGCAUUUUCCUUGAUAAACGGGUAGUAUACAGUAUACUUUUGGGUACAGAUAAUUUACGGAUUAAUCCACAUGCAAACAGGUUUUCUAUAAAAAAAAUCUGACCAUGCAACAAGCUCCAGAAAUUUCAGCAUUAACCUAUUAUUCUUUUCAUCCAGGACCUGGAAGGAUAUAUUAAUAUUCCAAAAGCUGCAUGUAGAAAAGCUCUACUCAAAUGUUUAUCGAAACAAUCAAACUGAUCCAGAUAUGUGAUGGCAAGAGUUGUAAAGCAUAUCAUCAAAUUGUUCCCAAAGAUCAUGUUAAACAAUGAGUACUAACACAAUAGAAUAGAAGGUGGAUACAAAAACUACAUACAUCAAUUUAGAAUCAAUGAUAAUGACACUAAUGAUAUUUUAAAAAGGAUAAAAAUACAAAAAGAACCUUCAAACCGUGUUCUUUUCUAUUUUUGAUCCCAGUCUCUAUGGGGUUAGUAUGAUUCAGUGCUCUGUGGAUGAGAAUGGCGUGUGAAUACUCUUCAUAGUGCCUACAUUGAUAACCAGGUUGAAAGUGCCAACAAUAUACCCAUAGCUCCCAGACCAUACAGCGCAACAAUGUCAGUAUUCUUGCCCUCCAGCUGUUCAAGCAGAACUUCUGUCCAUCCAUGGGGAAUUAUUUGUGCCUCCUGCAUGUUGCAACUUGUAAAGCAUUAGCUUCUAAAAAAAACUUAAAAGUACGCACGACCCCAUUUCCAUUAUCAUGAUAAUGGAAACCCAACAGUAAAUUGGCAGAACUAGAGAAAGCAGAACCAGAUAGCAAGAAACCUAGAUGCAUCUCAAAACUUUCUCAAGCUAAUAUUCACCUUUUCUCUGUUUAAUCUUCUUGCACUAGCCUCAUUCUUUGACAUGAAAUGAUCAUGUUGAUUAUCUCUCAUGGACAUGGGAACUUCAUCGUCAUGUGCAGCCAAGAAACCUGUGUAGGCUGAAUCUGUGUGGAGAGUCUUCAUGACUGAUCCAAAGAAAUUUGUCACAGGCACCUGAUCGAUGACAGAAGAUAAAGGGAAAAAUAUAUUGUGUGAACAAUUGAGUGGUGAAUUACAAUCAAGAAAUAUAUAGUAAUUCAGAAAUACCUCAUUUAAGGGCCGCUCAUAAAGAUCCAUUCGAUAAUACGCAGUGGACAUCAACAUGGAACGAUCGUAUGAGUUGAAAAGACUGUAAUGUAAGAAAUGAGAACGUUAUUGAAAUACAAAUGAAAAUAAGUGCCUUACUGUGCACAGUUACUCGGCUACACUACUUUUGACAUUUAAACUGAAUAUAGUUGAAUGUUACCCCGCAAAAUUUAGCUACAGAAUUUAUGAUACAACAUAUUCCCAAAGUUCAGUAAAGUCAACCAAAACAAUGUUUGAGAAUGGUAACUGCAGUAAUUUGUUCGCCAAUUUACUAUGGAUUAUUUCAGCAGUCAUUUAAUGUAGUCCUGUAUCCUCUUCAAUCUCUGGUGCCAUUUUCAUCUUAUGUCCCACAGUACAGGCUCCAAUGUUUUUCUCGAACAACGCAGGAGAACUGCGUGUCAUUUCAUUAAGAAAAGAAGUCGUACAAAAUGUACAAAGGUAACAGGAGAGGCCGUAACCUCCCCAGCACACUCCACUCACACUAAGCCACGGUUAGGAAAAUACAGGCUCCAAUGUUACCAUAAAAUAGCAGAUAUGAUAAAAGUUUGCCGAUUGCCAUCAGUGAAUUUCAAUUUCUUAUAUGGUACCAAAGAUAGUGUGUCGAUAUAGCCCUUCUACUAUUAUUGUAUCAUGUGAAAACCAUCAAAUGGAACAACAGACUCAGUCACGUAUUACGAUUCAAUGAGCCAAGUUUUUUUGGAUUCAAUGCACAUCCCAGUAAGCCCUAGAACAGGUAUAACACAUUCUAUAUGAAAAAAAAUACCUUACAGAAAACUUGUAAAGUUGUAAGAACAUCACGUUUGGAAUACAGCAAUUGACAAAUGAACAAUCAUUAUGGAUAACAUAAGCAACAGCAUUUAAAGCAUGUGUUACACUUUUACCUGUUCAGUGAAGCAUUGCUAUACAUGUUCAGUUUCUCAAAGAAAGCAAGUGUAUAAUAGGUAAACCUAUCAACAACAGAAACACCAAUCUGCCAAAAAAAAUAGAUCAGAUUGAUCAGCUUCAUGAAUAAUAGUAAGGCAAAAUAUAUUUGCAAAGUAUCUGCCAACAUUGUAAAUGAAAAGCAUUUACUCACAUCUGAAUCAAGAUGGUGAGAAUAAGAAUUUUCACCCUUCAUGCUGCUACCGAUCGCCAAAACACCAGGUGAAUGAAGCUGCAGAUAUAGGAUAUGUCAGUUUAUGGUUACGGAGAUAUAGUAUUCACAAUUCAGAUAGAGAAAAUGUACUAUGCCACUUCUUGUCUAAAAUUUGUAGUAAUGUCGAUAUAAUCGCAAUGGCCCAACGCGUAUAUUGAACGAAGUAUUUCUAACAGUGAAACAAACCUGUGAAAAGAGAGUAGCAGCUUGGCAAGUAUCUACCAUUAUCAGCAGCUCUUUAAAUCUGAAAAAAAGGGAAGAGAGGUCAGAACCAACUACUGAACAUGAAGAGGGUAAGGCAGCAUCUGAUUGUUGAAAAUUCCUUGAUUUGUACCUAUUGGGGUCUUGUAGAGUAAAAUGUAAACUACAAUAUAAUAAACUGAAGAAGAAUAAACCACCUAUGUUUCUCCUUCAUCUGCUUCACUGCAUCUGCUAAAUCAUGGCUCUGAAGCUCUUCAGAAUCUUGGAACUUCAAAAACUCAUCACCACCAUGCCCAGUCAUGUACAGAAGAAUAUGGCUUCCUUCAUCACUUAGGAGACGCUUUGAUCUUGGUACUGCACUUUCAUGUCUGCCAGUCAAAAUUCUCAAAAAGUUUUCAACUGUUACCUCGUACCCUCGAUAAUCAACCUGUCAUGAAAAAGUAGGAAUGGGUAAAAUUAAAGUAUUGUCAUUUUCUUUUUUUAGCAUAUAGACAGACAAGCAUCAAGUAGUCUAAAGUAUUCUGAAGUGUAGUCUUCUUAGGCACUAUGAUGUUAUGGACUUAUGGUUCAGCAACAAUAAUUUCAGAGUGCAGAGGUCCACCUCAACAUUGUCACCAUAAAGAUUUAGCUGGUGGUUCUCAUUGUUGAAAACUUGGGCAGGAUAACUGUUCCUAGGAUUACAAGCCAUAUCAUCUGCCAACAUAAGUAUGAUCCGCUCGUCAGGUAUUCCUAAUCUCUUAACUGUCCUGAAAGCAACCAAAAAGAAGAAGAAAAGAUACAAUAAGGAAUAAUCUGUAGACAGGACAACUCCAUACAAAUACAGUUCAACAUGCUACCUGUACAAAGACAGAGUAUUCGCCAUAUGUCGAUAAUUAAACCUGGGAACAUCAACAAUAACUGGUAAGCAUUAUGUGCAUAUAAUGCCAAAACAUCAGGAACCUAUAUGAAUGCUAUUGCCAUAUCAGAUUAUGGAGUUUAACAUGGAUCUAUUGCUAACACAGUUAAAUCACCGUAUAAUUGAACAGAUGCAGAUCUAUUGGCAUCUCAACAAGAACUUGAAUAUUCAUAGUUGAAGCAUUUGAACUUUGAACUCAUAGCUUUCGCCCCUGCAUCCCAAUGAGAAGAUGACAGCUUACUCCAAUUACCCCAAUUGAGAUCUCAACUACAAAAUUGAACUACGUUUCGCUAAUAUUCACUGAUACUGCAGUGAAUGAGUAAUGCCAAUAUUGAUUCGGAAGUUCCAGAAUUCCUAAAUGUGGUUGCACACGCAUCAUAAGCAUGAUUAACUCCGCCUAAAUAGAACCAACCAAUGAUCGACGCAAGCAACCCCCAAUACUGCUUGGCUGUACUGACACUGAUUCGCUAGCUAGAAACAGAGAAGCACAAGCCCGACAGCUAGUAACGCUAGGACGAAUCAACAGGUGCGAUCGACUUCCAAUCGAGUCGGAACUUGCAUCAAACGCGCCACUCGCCACGCCCGACGAAAGCACGCGUCCCACCGACCGAUCCAGCACAACCGGACUGGAUCCCCAGCGAGCCGGGCAGACAGGGGCAGACGACGAGCACGGCGGGGCGGUCAAGGUCCUGGCGCCGUGGGCAAGGGGAGGAGGGCUCACCAGAAACGGGAGGUGCAGACGAGCACGGCCCAGUUGUUGUUAUGCAUCGCGGCCGCCGCCGCCGCGGAGGAGGAGGAGAAGGCGAGGAGGAGCACGGGCAGCAGUAGCGCCUUGAGGAGGGUGAGCGCGCGAGGGGGCCGCGAUGGCUUGCGGCUCCAUCUGCCGGACGCCAUGGAAGCUGCUUCUGGUCGGGGAUCGGGGAGGAGGAGAGAGCAAACUCGACGGGGCCGGGGCCGGCGCACGCGACGACGCUCUCGGCUCACACGCUCCCCGUCGUUUCCCACCCUUGCCCUCGGGGGCCCCGCGGGUGGAGGUGGAGGUCGCAGCUGCCUGGGCCUGCGGGAUUGGAAGGUGGGAGGCGGAGGCAGAGGCGGCGGCGGUGGGGCUGUGGGCGCCGGUGGGAGGAGGGAGGAGAGGAUGGAGGCCACGGUGACGGCGGCGGCGUGGGCGAGGCCACCGGCAGGCGCAGGGAGCUGGGGGCGGAGUCGACCCGCGGCGCGAGCAAGGGGGCCCGCGAGCUCAGGGGAGGCGAAGGGUGACGGCGGCGCGGGCGAGGGGGCCCGCGAGCGCGGGGAGGCGGAGGACGGCGGCGGCGGUGGGCAGGAUAAGGAAGAGACAGUGUGGGCAGGGAAGAGAGAGGGAAAAAUAAUAGGGAGAGAAACAAAGUAAGAGAAAAAAAAGAGGAAUAAAAAAGAGAAAAAUAGUACAUUGGAAAAAAGAGAAAAUAAAUUGGAAUGCAGUGCGGCAUCUCAAUAGAUAGUGUCUACGUGAAAAAAGCUAACUAAGUGCUAUCCUCAGUACUGCAUUUCAUAUUUAGAUCCUGUUUGCUUUUAACAUUUUUUUAACACUUCCCUAUCCAAACACUUGUGUUAAAAGUGGGGUGUUAAAGUUUACCACCUCAUUUUUCAUAAACACAUGGAGGGGUGUUAAAACUUGCUAAAGGUGUUAAAAGUGGUCCCCCUCUCCACUUUUUCCCCGGUUACCCCUUCUCUCUCCUCCCUCUCUCUCCGCCGGCCACAAAUGAGGGGGCAAUGGAGUCAUUUCCCACUAAAGGUGUUAAAGUUUAACACAACAUCCAAACAUCGCAAUGUGUUAAAUUUUAGCACUCUAUUUGAGAGUGUUAAAACUUUAACACUUGUUAAAUUUUAACACAGGGUAUCCAAACAGGCUCUUAAACCUUUCUCCAUUCCUUUCAAUUAGUGGCAGACCAUUGAAAUGAUGUAGGCAAAGAUGGAAAAAAAAUACCACCAUGUUGUCUUAUGCAACCUAUUUUUGAGUGGCAUGAUUGUGCCACGUGUCAGUGUAGGCCACUAGAUAAACUUUUUUGUUGCAAAUUUGCAAUGACUGCCAUCAUCCAACCUAAGGUUUGAAGAAAGAUGCAGCUGUUGAAAUCUUGUCGGACAUUAUGUCCUAUUGCAGGUCGUACGUGCAAAGAAAGCAGUUGUUAGCAAUGCAUCUAUGUGGGAUACUUUGGAUCUGCUGCUACCACCAGAUGCUGUCCCAAAAUCAUAUGAAGAUAAAGUGAAAGCAACUCCACAAUGUGAUUCUUUUAUGCAUCUUCACUUGGGUUUUGGUGUAGAGGUAUGCUUCGCCUGAAGUUAAGUCUAGUAAAUCAUUUUCACUAAGAUGUGUUUCUCCGCAUAGGUGAUACGUCUCUUACCAUACCCUUCGGACAUUACUGAAACAGAAUGCGAGAGAGGGCCUCGGUGUCCAUCACAUUGUGGUUGAUAAUUGGAACAAAGGAGUUGAUGGUGAACAAAAUGUUGUGCUGAUAUCCGUUCCUAGUGUUCUUAGUAAGGACCUGGCACCGCCUGGAAAGCAUACUCUUCAUGCAUAUACACCAGGGACAGAACCUUUCCGUUUGUGGGAGGGAAUGGACCGGAAAAGUGCAGAUUAUCGAAGGCUGAAGGAAGAACGUUCUGAGGUACUUGAGUUCCAACUUUGGUUUCUUGCUGCUGUGAUGCAAUGCUGCUAUAGUUCCGAUUUUGAUUCCUUGCUGCCAUCGGUGCCUAGCAGUGUAUUGCAUAAUUUAGAUGUCUCAUCUGUCCACCUCAUUGAUCCAGUUUAGCGCAUGUGCUCAUUUCCAUUGUCUAAGCAAGAUGUGAUAAUGACAGUUAAACAGUCAAGAGAGAAAUGCCCCAAAAGCUGGCACAGAAGUCAUCAAAAUGAGACUAGUUUUUCAAAAGAAGACCACCAUCAACUGUUUCUAAGAAGUAAUAACUUUGCUGCCUUGACUGUGACUGACAUUCUAAUUGCAAACUUUCCAGGUGAUGUGGAAAGCAGUGGAGGCUGCUCUUGGCCCGAAAUUUAGCCGAGAAAAAUGCGACGUUAAGUUGGUCGGGACACCAUUAACGCAUAAGAGAUUUCUCAGAAGGAAUAGGGGAACCUAUGGUCCAGCCAUAAAAGCUGGAGAAGCCACUUUCCCUGGGCAAGCAACACCAAUCCCCCAGAUCUUCUGUUGUGGUGACUCGACUUUCCCAGGAAUCGGAGUGCCGGCAGUCGCGGCCAGCGGCGCGAUCGUCGCCAACACUC